CCCUUCUGUCUGCGCGCCCUUUCUUUGCUCAGGGCCGCUCGCUCACCCCUAUUGCCAUCACAUCACAGGCACGUGCACAUCGAGAGGAUUCACCGUCCGUGUGCGCCACGGCGGCUAAACGUCUACAGACUAAAGAAGGGAGGUCUGUUGUUUGGGUAAUAAUUGUUGCGCUGUGGGAGGAGGGGAGCAGCACUCCACUGUAUCGACAGGUUCUCCUCCUAACCCGCGCUGACCAUCGGCACGCGUCGACCGACAGGCAUGGAUAGGCGCCGACGAGUUUAUAGACACACACAUAUAUAUAUAUAUGGGCGCACACGUACAUCCAUACUGCGCUGCUUGCGUCUCUUUCUCGCUUUCGCAUACUUCUCUUUUGCUGUGCAAGCAGGCGCAGGAAAGCACUCGACCAGUGCGCGAAAACGAAGUGGACCACACGAAGCGAACUCCCUGCCGUGAUGGACUUCGAGGAGGCCUGGCGGGAGGCCAUGGGGGAAGAACAGCCGCCGCCGCCGCAGCAGGCACGUGGCGGCCACGAUGGCGGCGGUGGGGGCGACGACGCGUAUGAUGAGUUUAGCGACGAGGAUCUUCUGCGGUCUGUCCCCUGCGCGAAUGACGCUGCUGUGGCGCCCGCGUUUGGCCCAGUGUGUCCCAUGGCACCGGUGUCUCCUGCCAUGACUUCCGUUGCCACAGCCGUACCAAAGUCCUCCUCGCCGCGCCCUGCGGCUGCUUCGGCUGUUGCGGCGGCCAUGCCCUCUCUGCCUCCGUCCUCGGCGUCACAGCGGGGCGCCCUCGAGUUUCCUCCUGUCGGCGUCGCCAGCUUUUUGCUCCGUGGAGACAACGGGCGAGUGCGCUGGGUGACGACUACUGGUGGCGCUGCCGCGUCUGCCGCUCAGAGACCAGGUGUGCGGAAGAUCUCACAGACCGUGGGCCACUCGCACCGGCGCGAGGUAGUGGACGUCGAGGCCAUGGAAGCAGAUGAUGGCGUUGUCACCGUGCGUGGAGACGAAGAGGCGGCAGCACUUUGUAGCAGCGGCGCAGCUAUGCAGCUGAGCGACCGGGAGGACGAGGACGACGAGGACGACGAGGAAGACGUGCCCGACGCGGCGCCUUCGUCGAUGCACCGUCGGGCGAGCGACCCUGCAGGCUUUCUUCGCGACGGUUUAAACGCUCGAGCGAUGCUGCGUGACAUCUACGCUGAAGAGGUGAAGCGGCAGCAACAGCGAGUGAAGCAGCAGGAGGAUACGGAGCGGCAGAGUGUGCAGCGGACAGCAGCAGGCCGGGAUCAUUGCGAGCUGGAGGCGCUUGGCGACCGCGACGAGGUACUGGACGGUGAAGAGAGAGAGCGGCGCCGACUCAUGGAGCCGGCACGUCAAUGCCGCGCCGCCACUGCAGGCACUCUUGCGCGCCCUCGGCCACAUCGCGCCCCCUCCAACGGGGAGCUGUGGGUCACCAAGUACAGCCCCAAGCUGUUCCACGAGGUGCUCAGCGAUGAAACCGUUAACCUACGACUCCUGCAGUGGCUCAAGUCGUGGGAUGCUUAUGUGUUCCCAGAUGACGCGCCUUCGGCAGCAAAGGGCGCGCAGGCAUCAGCUGCCGGUGCUACAGCCGCGGCUUCACCUCCCGCGGAGCGUAUUGCCGUCCUUACCGGGCCGCCUGGAGUUGGCAAGACGACACUCGUCCACGUCCUCGCCGCGCAUUGCGGCUACGAGGUGAUCGAGGUGAACGCGAGUGUUGAGCGGACGACAUCGCGGCUGGAGGCGCUCAUCAAGACCGCGGUGGCCGCGGCCGGGCCGGCUACUGGAGGUCGCGUCCGCCGGCCAACGGCGGCGUCGGCUGCUGCUGGGUUGGCGGUGCCCGCUAUCGAUCACCGUGCAAAUCUUGGCCUUGAGACAGGUCACAGCGGUGACGCUUCCGGUGCCGAAAUGGCAGCAGCAGCAGCGCUGUCGUCGCCGCGUGCCUCUUCCUCCCUGGUGCAGCACUUGCUCCGUCCCAAGUGCCUUGUCAUCGAUGAGAUGGACGGCAUUGCCAACAGCAGUGUGGCCGCGUACCUCAUCCAGCAGCAGCUGCAUCGGCCGGUAUUCUGUCUCUGCAACGACUUUUACGUGCCAUCCCUGCGACCGCUGCGGCAGCAUUGCUCCCACGUGUACCACAUGCCGCCCAUUCGUCCUCAGCGACUACUCUCACGGCUGGAGGAGAUCGCGCGGCGAGAGGGGGCGACGAUGUUCGACUCGAUGGCCCUAUCAGAGCUCAUCAAGACCAGCGGUGGUGAUGUGCGGAGCUGCCUGAAUGCGAUGCAGCUCAUCAGCAGCGCUGUACACCAGCAGCAGCAACAGCAGCGUCUUGAUGCAGGGACUGGCGCGCCCUCCUCUGCCACCGCGGCACCCGCCGUCACGACGCCGUCGCGGCACACCGUCACGGAACUCAUUCGACGCAUGCAAGGCAAGGACACCCGUGUUGCGUUGCGUGACAGCUGGCAGCUACUCUUCACCCGGCCCGAGCGUAGCAAGGCUGUGCAGCUGCUGAAGCAGGAGUGCGGAAUAGACUACGAGGCCUUCGUUGAGGCCGCCGCCGCCCAGCACAACCGCAACGUUGUUCCUGCACGUCGUGCGCUUGAGCGAGAGAGGGCAGUCGGUGCUCCGGCAGGCGGGGGCUACGCUCCGACACGGACGGCGGAGUCGAGAGGUGGCGGUAGCGCGUCGGCGCGUGCAGCGAUGCAGCCAGUAGCGAUGGGUUUCCGUGUCGAUCCCGGUUACCUGUACGCUGCUCAGAAGCUGUCUCGCUGCCCCGACAGCGGCAGUCUGGUGGACGGCCUCCAGGAGAAUUAUCUGAACCGCGCCUACACCGACUACAGCUUUUCCCGCACCAGUGCCACGGCUGACAGCUUCUCGCAGCAGGACGUGGUGGUCGCGGCGGCCUUUCAGCAUCCGGAGCUGAUGGGGACGGCGGAGCGGCUGUGUCACGUGUCUGCGCUGACGUGUUACGUGCACUGCAGCACCGCGGCGCGCGGGAGCCGCAUCGAGUUUCCACGCGAGCAGGUGACACUGCGCCGCUUGCAGUCGGAGUUGAAGCAUGCUGCUCAGCAAUUCCGUGAAGGGUGCCGCCCGCACGCCUCCGCGUUCCUCGGCGAUGACGAGGUUGUAAGCACCGAUGUAGUACCCAUGCUACUGCGGUGCCUGUUCGACCGAUCGCUGCGUCUGCCUGCGCACUCCAUCUCCUCUUUCAGUCGGCUGCCUCCAGCAGAGCAGCGCCUGCUGCAGGCAUCUGUGGCCCGUCACGUCGAGUACGGUCUGGACUACCAACGGGAUCGGCAGUACACCCCGUCGCCCGCCGCUGCCGCUGCUGGUGCCGCUGGAGCGUCGCUCAGUUCAUUCGGCUCGCUGGCCGCGGCGAACGUGGAGGAUGAGGCGCCGUGGCGACUGACUCCAGAGCUGGACAGACUCCUUGCAGGUGUGGUGCGUCCGGUGGAACGCGCGCUUGCAGGAAGCGGCGGCGGUGAUUAUCGUGGCUACUCCUUCUCUUCACGCUCGUCGCGCUUCGGUGGGAGCGGUGCCGGUCCGCGUGACGGCAGCGGCCUCCACACAUCACCGUCUCCCUCAGAUGCGAAAGGCAGCACUGGCUCUCCGGCCUUUGCAACCAAGUCAGGUGGUGGCGACAGCCGUGAGCCGUCGAGAACGCCGUCGGUGGCAUCCGUGAUGAUGCCGAUGCGGAACGAGGUGCGGCAGAUCCUGUCUGGUGAGAUCCGCCAGCAUCGCAUCAUGCAGUCCAUGGAGCUCCUGAAGCGUCAGUCGCAGCAGUCGACACCGGAAGCGCUCGAGCGAGGUGUGAAGCGGCAGCGCGCUGACAGCGUUGCCUCCACCGCCACAGCCUCGUCAAAUCCCGCCCACAAAGCCGACUCUACAGUGAAGGGUGAUGUUCGCGAAGCUGAGCAUGCAACGGCGGCAGACGGCGCAGAGGGGGUGGAUGCACCCGCCAACAAGUGGCCGCGAUCAGACGGGACCAUGACCGCGUCAGUAACUGUGACGACCACCACGACGGUGCGGCGCGACUUCUUUGGUCGGCCACUGCCAAGCACCGACUCUGCAGGGGCAGCGGCAGCAUCGACUGUUAGCACCACGCGCAGUGGCCCUCGUGCUGUUGGCGACCGUCUCAGCGCCAGCGCCACCGCCGCCGCGUCACCGUCGUCGCUGGUUUCACCGUCAUCGGGAGACGCUGGCAAGGGUCGCUUUCCCCGCCCGCACUCUCCUUAUCCACCCACCGCGAACGCCUGCGUGCGCUACGUGUACCAGGACGGCUCCACGAAUGCCGUCAAGAUGCCAGCGACGUUCGCUGAUUUUUAGUGCAGAGGGUGUCGGCUCGAGGAUCGGGUGCGUGGGCGACGGUGGUGGCCAUCAGGAGUGAUCAGGCGUGUGACGCGAACGCAAGGAAAAGGACGCCUUCAUAGACAGCUACGCGUGCACGUGCACACAUGCGUGCACCGAGCGUGUAAAGAUACUUGUGCACGGCAUGGACUGAGUUGCCCGUCGAGGGAAGGAGAGCAGUAACAACCAUAAAAGGUGGAGAGGGGUGAGGAGAGAGGGAACGACAUCGGGGGAUGUAUGGCCACUUGUGUCCCUCUUCCCCUCCUCUGCACUUCUCUUCGCCUCUGCGCGCGAUGAUCUCGACCCUUUUCCCCCUCUUCCUCUUUUCGUUUCAUGCCUUUUUCCAUAGAAACACACCCACCCACAAAAACGUAAGAGGGGCCCGCAUGACAUCGUCUUUGUGGCUGCUGUCACUGCCGAUGCGCUCAGGCAUACGUGAACACGCACGGCACUGCGGACGCUGUCGUCUCUCGCCGCCUGCCCAUCUCCCUACCAGAGCGGCGAGCUGCAGCUGCAGCCGUAAGCGGCCAAGCGAAAAAAGAAAGCUAAGAGGGCAGAGAGAAAGGGAGGGGAGGGGGGGGCACAGAGAUGGGACGUGGCCAGCCUCCGCCGCUCGACACUUCGACAGUACGUCUUGAUGGUGGGGAGGCAUGCACGCCUGCCACUGCCGCUGCGCUAUGGAUCAUGACGAAUAACAUCUCGCUAUCCGUCAUACAUGUCUCCCUCCCUCUCUCUGGAACAUGCCGUCUACGUGCAUUGCUCUUCGCCAUUCGAGUGCGGCUGGCGGGGUGGGAGGUACACGUAG
RNAcentral lists this unclassified non-coding RNA (5160 nucleotides) under Leishmania donovani. Its description in RNAcentral is "gene:LdHU3.17.0900(CDS-product:ATPase_family_asso ciated_with_various_cellular_activities_(AAA)_putative)". The record is from RNAcentral. Lineage: Eukaryota; Euglenozoa; Kinetoplastea; Trypanosomatida; Trypanosomatidae.